This 465-nucleotide ribosomal RNA is filed under the name Vreelandella stevensii. RNAcentral's name for it is "partial 16S ribosomal RNA". It matches the Rfam family "Bacterial small subunit ribosomal RNA", at positions 338 to 795 of the family's 1533-position model. The record is from RNAcentral. Lineage: Bacteria; Pseudomonadati; Pseudomonadota; Gammaproteobacteria; Oceanospirillales; Halomonadaceae.
CCUACGGGAGGCAGCAGUGGGGAAUAUUGGACAAUGGGGGCAACCCUGAUCCAGCCAUGCCGCGUGUGUGAAGAAGGCCCUCGGGUUUUAAAGCACUUUCAGUGAGGAAGAACGCCUGGUGGUUAAUACCCAUCAGGAAAGACAUCACUCACAGAAGAAGCACCGGCUAACUCCGUGCCAGCAGCCGCGGUAAUACGGAGGGUGCGAGCGUUAAUCGGAAUUACUGGGCGUAAAGCGCGCGUAGGUGGCUUGAUAAGCCGGUUGUGAAAGCCCCGGGCUCAACCUGGGAACGGCAUCCGGAACUGUCAAGCUAGAGUGCAGGAGAGGAAGGUAGAAUUCCCGGUGUAGCGGUGAAAUGCGUAGAGAUCGGGAGGAAUACCAGUGGCGAAGGCGGCCUUCUGGACUGACACUGACACUGAGGUGCGAAAGCGUGGGUAGCAAACAGGAUUAGAUACCCUAGUAGUC